Oncorhynchus tshawytscha (Chinook salmon) is the source of this 7680-nucleotide long non-coding RNA. The record is from Ensembl. NCBI's taxonomy places the organism in Eukaryota, Metazoa, Chordata, Actinopteri, Salmoniformes, Salmonidae.
GACCAGUAAAGACACUGGCAGAGAGACCAGUAAAGACACUGGCAGAGAGACCAGUAAAGACACUGGCAGAGAGACCAGUAAAGACACUGGCAGAGAGACCAGUAAAGACACUGGCAGAGAGACCAGUAAAGACACUGGCAGAGAGACAAUAACAAAAGCUAGUCAAGAGACCCGAAAGGACAGCAGGAGCAGAGGGAAAGAUAAGGAGGCGGAAAAGAUAAUCAAGGAGAUGGAGACUGGCAAAAAAGAGACCAGUACAGAGACUCGCAAAAAGUUAGGGAGUAAGACUAGAAACAUGACAGUCCAUGAGACCAGCAAAGACACUGGGAAAAUGACCAGUACAGAGACUGUUAAGGAGACUGAGAGAGAGACUAGCACAGACAUGGAGAGAGAGACCUGUAGAGCUGUUAGUAUAGUGGCCAGUAGAAUCAGCAAUAGAGAAACCAAAAAAAAGCCAGAGACUUGUAAAACACCUGAAAAGAAGACCAAUACUCAGACUGUGAAAGAAAAAACUAAAGUGACUCCUCCCCCCAUCUCCCCUCCAACCACUAAUCUGUGGGAUUUCCUGAAGAGGCAGAACCGAGGAGCUGUGAUUGGUCUGAGUGCACUCAUCGAGUGCCACAGUCACGGCCAGCCCCCCCUCUACCUCUGCCAGGUGUGUGGGUGUAAAGUCUUCCAGAACGCCAUCAUCGUCCAUGUAACCACAGACUGCCACCGGCUUUCCUACCUGAGGUCGCUGAAGACAGUGGUUGUCCCCAAAGGGAACCAGCUCCAUAAGAAGUUGAGGAGAGCUGCCUUGAAGCUGGAGAGGACCAUGGGAUAUGGAGAGGCUGAGGUAACGGAGUUGGAUGCACACACUUACAAUUUUGUUGCAGAAAGAUCCUUUGCCAUUGGCCUGAACAUUGUAAUGAAGGUCAUAAAUGGUGACCCUUCACCUGACCCCCUACUGUUGGUCAGCCCUAAACCCCCUGACCCCUCACCCCAGGUCAGCCCUGACCCCUCACUCCAGGUGUCAGAGGUCAGCAACCCCACCAUGACCUCUACAGCUCUGUGGUCCUACCUGAAUGCCUCCACCAGGACACAGCCUGUCAUCGGUGUCAGUAUGUUGACAGAGUUGCCAGACAGACAUGGUGACUACUUCCUCUGCCGCUGCUGUUCUCACAGGAUGUUUACAUCAUCCCUCAUUGGACACCUAAUCUCUGCUCGACACCGCUACCACUACAUAAAACUAGUGUACCCUGAGCUGGCUGCUGAUUGGCCAGUGAGCCCAGAGCUGACGGUGAAGGCGGGGCCUCUUCAUGAGGAGCUGAGAGUGAGAGCUGCAGAACUGGAGGCACAGGAGGGACUAGGACAGCUCACGGUGGUAAAGAGAGAACCUGCUGCUGGAGACACAACCACUACCAAUACUGAAGGGACUGCCCAGCAGAGCCAGAACGGCUCACCUCCUCUCUCUGUGAAAGAGGAACCGGUUGACUCCACAGUACCAUCCCAGCCCCCUAGAGGAGAAAAGAGGAACAAGAGGAGGAGCAACCCUGUGGUUGGUGUGAACUUCCUGGUCCAGGUGUCCCACAGGAGAAGGAAACAGUACUACUGUCAGCUAUGUUCUGUCAGGAUGAAACACGCUAUUGCUGAUCACAUGACCAGCCUCAGCCACCGACACAACUAUGUGAGGUUGAAGUACCCUGGUUGGACCUCCAGCCCGGUAGAGAUGGAGAAGAAGCUGUUCAAAAUGGCCGUUCACCUGGAGAAGGUCGACAGAGACGCAGGAAUGGGCAUGCAGAAGGUAGAAGUGGAAGCUGAUGAGUACAAAGAGCUGUUGUCCUUUCCUGUGGAGGAAGGUGUCAGUAAACUGCAAGCCAUCAUCAGACGGCAACAAGAGCCAUGCGAUCUGAGACACACAGCUCCCUCGACCAAUCACAACCCAGAGGAUCUGAGACAGACAGCUCCCUUGUCCAAUCCCGAUGCAGCCCAAUGUCCAGCUCAAGGUAUGUGUGGGGCAGAGUCACGUGAGACCGAGGGAGUGUGUCCUCUCCCUGUCAGUCUAUCAGAGGAGGAGAAUGACCAGACGCUCCUGGUUCAGAUCUCAAUGUUUUUGGGAGAAGACCAGGAACCCCUACAAGUACCUUCCCGUUCCUCCAGGAUCAGCCACCCCUUAUUUCCAUCCCUCUCCCACUCUCUACACCUCACCCUAUCCCCCUCUCUUCCUCAAUCCCCCUCCCUCUCUCCCUCAAACCCCUUUUCUACCUCUCUUUCCACAGUUGUCCUAUCUACCUCACCCUCCCUCUCUUCCUCCAUACCAUCCCACACCCCCUCGUUGUCCACAGAGAAGACAACACACCCCUCCCCUGUCUCUGUCCCUGUUCCUGCACCUCUCUCAGCUCUGAGGAGCUCAACACAUUUGAAGGACUGGGAGACUUCUCUGAGUCCAGAGUGGUGGGAGAGGAAGAGCCCAGAAUGCAGAGAGACACAGACGCUUCUAGAAAUACCAGACAGACACACUCUUCUGGAAUACUCGGGCAGAGACAGACAGAUUGAAUACUCAGCGACAGACCGACAGACUGCAUACACUGAGAGAAACCGACAGACUCAUCUAGAAUACUCUGAGAGAGACAGACGGGCAGACUACUCAGAGAGAGACAGACGGGCAGACUACUCAGAGAGAGACAGACGGGCGGACUACUCGGAGAGAGACAGACGGGCGGACUGCUCGGAGAGAGGCAGACGGGCGGACUACUCCGAGGGAGGCAGACGGGCGGACUACUCCGAGGGAGGCAGACGGGCGGACUACUCCGAGGAGGCAGGCGGGCGGACUACUCCGAGGGAGGCAGGCGGGCGGACUACUCCGAGGGAGGCAGGCGGGCGGACUACUCCGAGGAGGCAGGCGGCCGGACUACUCCGAGGGAGGCAGGCGACCGGACUUCUCCGAGGGAGGCAGACGGGCGGACUUCUCCGAGGGAGGCAGACGGGCGGACUUCUCCGAGGGAGGCAGACGGGCGGACUACUCCGAGGGAGGCAGACGGGCGGACUACUCCGAGGGAGGCAGACGGGCGGACUACUCCGAGGGAGGCAGACAGGCGGACUACUCCGAGGGAGGCAGACAGGCGGACUACUCCGAGGGAGGCAGACAGGCGGACUACUCCGAGGGAGGCAGACAGGCGGACUACUCCGAGGGAGGCAGACAGGCGGACUACUCCGAGGGAGGCAGACAGGCGGACUACUCCGAGGGAGGCAGACAGGCGGACUACUCCGAGGGAGGCAGACAGGCGGACUACUCCGAGGAGGCAGACAGGCGGACUACUCCGAGGGAGGCAGACAGGCGGACUACUCCGAGGGAGGCAGACAGGCGGACUACUCCGAGGGAGGCAGACAGGCGGACUACUCCGAGGGAGGCAGACAGGCGGACUACUCCGAGGGAGGCAGACAGGCGGACUACUCCGAGGGAGGCAGACAGGCGGACUACUCCGAGGGAGGCAGACAGGCGGACUACUCCGAGGGAGGCAGACAGGCGGACUACUCUGAGGGAGGCAGACAGGCGGACUACUCUGAGGGGGAACUGGACGAAGACCAAGAACACACACAUCAUCACAGUGAACACACACAUCAGCACAGUGAACACACACAUCAGCACAGUGAACACACACACUUCGAGCAGGCCCCAGCAAGCUGGCUCAGUGUUCCACAGGUGUAUCUGCUGCCGGACACACCCGCAGCAAAGAGGGUUGUCGGCCCCAGCCACCUGUCCAAAUACCUGAAAGUGAAGGGCCUUCACAACACAGAACCGAUCAUAGGUCUGGGCAGUGUGGUGGAGUGUAGAGGUAUAUCCCAGGCUACGUUUUUCAUGUGUGUGAGCUGUGCUGAGACUCUCUCCAGUACACACAUCUGUGAACACAUCAUCAGCGCGCAACACCAGCAGUGCUACAUGUUUUCCCAGUAUAGUCCUAUGCGCUGUGAUUGGUUGAGAGAGCAGCAGCAGCCUCCGAGUCCACAGCUCCUCAGGAAGGUUGCUUCAGCACUGUCACAACUGGAGGUGGAUCUAGAUGCACAGGUGAUGCUGCUGGAUCAGAUGUGGUAUAACCUUGUGAAGUCAGCUCCAUUCUACGAAGCCAUGUACAUGCUGCAGGAACAGAAUCAGAAUGCCCUGUGUCUACACACAGCAAGCAGACAUCAGCUUUUUCCCCCAGUUGGUCCUGACCCAGCAACGGAGCAGGGCUUUGACCAGAACCACAGAGUGAUGGAUAAACUGACCAUGGAUCAGAUUGAGCCCCAUCACCCCCUGCAGACAGCAGAUACAGUGGCUGGUAAACUGACUGGAGAUCAGCUGGAGUCAGGCCAGUGCAUACAGACCGCAGACAGACGGCCAGAUAAUCAGAACCCGGAUCAGCCCCAGUGGAGCCAGAGCUCAGAGAGAACAGAGAUGGUCCCUGAGCCAAUAAGAGCCAAGACACCACAUAAUUCUGAGCCAAUCAGAGACCAGACACCACAGAACAUUGAGCCAAUCAGAGCCAAGACGUCAAAGAAUUCUGACCCAAUAAAAUUCCAGACACCACAGAACACUGGGCCAAAAAGAGCCUGGAUGCCACAGAACUCCUCAGAACCACAUCUGGACCAAGACAACACAGUCAUUGUCAAACAGGAGCCUGUGGACCCCAAGGUGGAACCUCAGCCCCAUCCUCAUACCCAGCCUGAGGUGGACCCCUUAAAGGAUUCCCUGUAUGGACACAGAGUCCAGUUCUCCCCAGAUGUACAGAACCUGGCUGGUGUGUGUGAGGUGGAGUACCAGGGGACCGUCCUAGCACACAGCCAAGAGGUGACACGAAUAGGAGGGGCCACAGAGAACUCCCUUCAACCCACCAAGAACUUGAGAGACUCCGUCAACAACAGCUUGCCUUUGGUCGGUCUCAGUGCAAUGAUAGAGUGUUGCAGUGAGGGCCAGGUGUCCUUCUACCUGUGUGUGUCGUGUGGCAGCAAAAUUGAAAAAACUCUACUCAUCAGCCACGUCCUCAAAUACAGACACCGACAGCUGUACCUGACAAUGAGGUACCCGUGGUAUUUCCUUGGUGUGGUACCAGCCCGAGGGUUGGCAGAACAGUCCAGACUGAUGCAGAUUGCUAAGGAGGUGGAGGAGCAGAACCAUGAUGAGCCUGGCACGCUACAGGAGGUGAUUCUGGCCCCUGCUGACUUUGCCGAGAUCAAACGGAUGCUGUUUGAUAAAGCUGUAUCCCGUUUGCAGGAGAUCUGUAGAGAGCAGAACCAGACUGAACUCCUCACCAUGGUCACCAGCAAACCUGAACCAAUAGUGGUCAAGCAGGAGAUUGUGGAGUGCCAGGUGGUCUCCCAUCAGGCCUUGGGGCUAUUCCUACCGCCACAGAGAUGUAGGAGAAACACGGGAAAACGUUGUUCUAACGUUGAGGGGUCAGAGGUGAGGGGUCAGCAGCAGGUGAAGAAGAGAAAGGUGUCCAGCCCCCCUGAGGGUCACACUGCCCCUGUCAUCUGUCUAUCAUCUCCUGAAGUCAUCAAGUCUUCUGAAACACACACUGUCAACCAGACACACAUCAUCACACCCUCACCCACACAAUCCAACACUAAGCCGAAACUCACAUACACACACUCUGACUCUCAAACUAAACUUAAACCUUCACGCACACACCCCAAACCCAGUUCAACAGCCCCAGAAUAUACUAGACCCAAACUCAUUCCCCAUUCUGCCACCAAGCCCUCCGGUAUCCCUGCCGACAGCCUGACUGUUGCCAAAGAGUCCUCUAGCAAGAAAGCCACUCACACACUGUGCAAACCCACACACACACUGUCCAAUAGCCAGAAGCUCACUGACAAACAUUCGGACAAGAAUGAGUCUCAGAAACAUACUGAAAAGGCUAAACCUACUCGCACACACAGUGAACGCACACACAGAAACCGCACACACACUCGCAAACACAGUGACCUCACACGCACUGACAAAGCCAAAGACGGACACAGUGACAAGACCAAACGCAGACACAGUGACCGCAAACACACUAACAGACAUUCUGACCACUCACGCUGUCACACCAGCUCUAAGAGACAUAAUCGUAGCUCCAGCCGUUCCUCCAAAGCCUCCCCCAGAGCUAGUCCCUCUGAGCCCCCUGCUCUCCCCCUACUCCCCGCUGCAUUCUCCCCCACCAGAGCCACUUCUGCGGCGAGCCUAAGCCAGGUCAAACCCAGCCAACCUUCCUGCCUAGUCAACAAACAACUACCCAAACAGUCCAGCCAACCAACCAAGAGACCUCCCAACCCAACCUCAGCAGUCAGACCUCUCCAGACCCAGGCCAACCCUCCCAACAACACCUCUUACCCCCACCUGCACCCAGAAAGAACCGGACCCAUGACCCCCCACUCGGACCCAUGACCCCCCACCCGGACCCAUGACCCCCCAACCCCCGGCAAUCCCUCCCUGCCUCACUCCUCCACCUCCACCCCAGCCAGGUCCUGUCUACGCCUCUGGGGUUAAGAAGAAGACUUCCAUUGUAGACUGUGAUCAAUUUGUGGAAUACUUUGUCUCUUUGUUGCGCUCCCCCCACUUUCCUCCUGCCCUAACCACCCCAGAGAGUGCAGAGAGCGCUGAGGCUCAUACCAGGGCAACAGGCCCUAACCCUGGAGGGGAGAAGAUGAGGGGUGACUCAAAAGGUCAUGCCAUCGCCAUAGUGGCGGCAUUACCCAACCCGCUAAAAAGGAAGCUAUCCCUACAGGAACCCGAGGACAGAGACCCCUGGAACUACGAGAGCCGACAGUUCACUCCCAACUCCAAACCUAACCCCAACUUCAAACCUAACCCAAACUUCCAGAACCCUGACUCCAAACCUAACCACAACUUCCAGAACCCUGACUCCAAACCUAACCACAACUUCCAGAACCCUAACUCCAAACCUAACCACAACUUCCAGAACCCUAACUCCAAACCUAACCACAACUUCCAAAACCCUAACCCUAAACCUAACCCCAACUUCCAGAACCCUAACUCUAACCCCAACUUCCAGAACCCUAACUCCAACUCUAACCCCAACUUCCAGAGUUAUACCCCCACUACCAAUGCCACACUAGCCCAGGGGGGUUACACUGGAGGGGUUACCGUUUCUUCUAGCCCUAACCCCACUGACCCACAGCCCCCAGAGAUUCUACCUGGUUACACCUACCCUGGUUACACCUACGCUGGUUACACCUACCCUGGUUACACCUACCCUGGUUCAGGUUACGCUGGAGUUGUCAGUGUUAGUCAGUUCACUUCCAACUCCCCCAUUAACCCUAUCCCCAGCCCCAGUAACACACAGUCACAGCCACAGGCAAGGUGGUCUGGGGGCAACUGGGGAACAGGCUACCCAGGGGCAGGCUAUGUUACAACAGGUCUAGCUGGUACUUCCUACCCUGGAGCUGUCUCUUCUGGAAGUGGACCUGGCUACCCUGGAGUUCUGCUCUACCCAGAGAUGGGCUACUCAGACAUGGACUGCCGUGGACAGGCUUACCCUAGGUCUGGGACUGGACUCGGCUCUACUGGGACUGUUAUGCCCCCAGGAAGCCUCUACUCUACCACACCAUCUCCAGCCAACCCCAGCUAUUUGGCCUUGACCCAGCCAUCACUUGACCCAGCCAGCUACUCCGCCUGGACUGCUACUGACACCGGGGUUGCCAUUGAAACCAGCACAGCAG